RNAcentral lists this ribosomal RNA (465 nucleotides) under uncultured bacterium. RNAcentral describes it as "partial 16S ribosomal RNA". It matches the Rfam family "Bacterial small subunit ribosomal RNA", at positions 28 to 507 of the family's 1533-position model. The record is from RNAcentral.
GAUGAACGCUGGCGGCGUGCUUAACACAUGCAAGUCGAACGGAAAGGCUCCUGCUUGCAGGGGUACUCGAGUGGCGAACGGGUGAGUAACACGUGGGUGAUCUGCCCUGCACUUCGGGAUAAGCCUGGGAAACUGGGUCUAAUACCGGAUAGGACGAUGGUUUGGAUGCCAUUGUGGAAAGUUUUUCGGUUUGGGAUUGGCUCGCGGCCUAUCAGCUUGUUGGUGGGGUAAUGGCCUACGAAGGCGUCGACGGGUAGCCGGCCUGAGAGGGUGUACGGCCACAUUGGGAAUGAGAGACGGACCAGACUGCAACGGGAGGCAGCAGUGGGGAAUAUUGCACAAUGGGCGCAAGCAUGAUGCAGCGACGCCGCGUGGGGGAUGACGGCCUUCGGGUUGUAAACACCUUUCGAUAGGGACGAAGCGAAAGUGACGGUACCUGGAGAAGAAGCACCGGCUAACUACGUG